UGGUCUAUGGUGUAACGGUAACACUACUGAUUUUGGUUCAGUCAUUCAAGGUUCGAAUCCUUGUAGACCAACAA
This 74-nucleotide transfer RNA is filed under the name Flavobacterium columnare. RNAcentral describes it as "tRNA-Gln". It matches the Rfam family "tRNA". From Rfam's summary of the family: Transfer RNA (tRNA) molecules are approximately 80 nucleotides in length. Their secondary structure includes four short double-helical elements and three loops (D, anti-codon, and T loops). The record is from RNAcentral. Lineage: Bacteria; Pseudomonadati; Bacteroidota; Flavobacteriia; Flavobacteriales; Flavobacteriaceae. RNAcentral also lists the same sequence under 3 other names.